UGAGGAAUAUUGGUCAAUGGACGAGAGUCUGAACCAGCCAAGUAGCGUGAAGGAUGACUGCCCUAUGGGUUGUAAACUUCUUUUAUAUGGGAAUAAAAAUGUUCCACGUGUGGGAUUUUGUAUGUACCAUAUGAAUAAGGAUCGGCUAACUCCGUGCC
RNAcentral lists this ribosomal RNA (158 nucleotides) under uncultured bacterium. RNAcentral's name for it is "partial 16S ribosomal RNA". It matches the Rfam family "Bacterial small subunit ribosomal RNA", at positions 355 to 509 of the family's 1533-position model. The record is from RNAcentral.